AUUGAACGCUGGCGGCAGGCCUAACACAUGCAAGUCGAACGAGUGGCGGACGGGUGAGUAAUGUCUGGGAAACUGCCCGAUGGAGGGGGAUAACUACUGGAAACGGUAGCUAAUACCGCAUACCAUCGGAUGUGCCCAGAUGGGAUUAGCUAGUCGGUGGGGUCACGGCUCACCUAGGCGACGAUCCCUAGCUGGGCUGAGAGGAUGAGCAGGCACACUGGAACUGAGACACGGUACAGACUCCUACGGGAGGCAGCAGAGGGGAAUAUUGCACAAGGGGCGAAAGCCUGAUGCAGCCAUGCCGCGUAGAUGAAGAAGGCCUGCGGGUUGGAAAGUACUUUCAGCUAGGAGGCGUUACUAGCAGAAGAAGCACCGGCUAACUCCGUGCCAGCAGCCGCGGUAAUAC
Molecule: ribosomal RNA, 406 nt
Filed under: uncultured bacterium
Lineage: Bacteria
Description: partial 16S ribosomal RNA
Rfam family: Bacterial small subunit ribosomal RNA
Source: RNAcentral